CCGGGUGAGUAACACGUGACUAACCUACCCUCGAGUGUGGAAUAACAUCGGGAAACCGAUGCUAAUACCGCAUAACAUCGCAAGAUCAAAGGAGCAAUCCGCUUGAGGAGGGGGUCGCGGCUGAUUAGCUAGUUGGCGGGGUAACGGCCCACCAAGGCGAAGAUCGGUAGCCGGCCUGAGAGGGCGCACGGCCACACUGGAACUGAAACACGGUCCAGACUCCUACGGGAGGCAGCAGUGGGGAAUUUUGCGCAAUGGGGGAAACCCUGACGCAGCAACGCCGCGUGGAGGAUGAAGCCCCUUGGGGCGUAAACUCCUUUCGACCAAGACGAUAAUGACGGUACUGGUGGAAGAAGCACCGGCUAACUCUGUGCCAGCAGCCGCGG
Molecule: ribosomal RNA, 386 nt
Filed under: uncultured bacterium
Lineage: Bacteria
Description: bacterial SSU rRNA
Rfam family: Bacterial small subunit ribosomal RNA
Source: RNAcentral